Long non-coding RNA from Hibiscus syriacus, 756 nucleotides. RefSeq lists it as uncharacterized. The transcript is spliced from 3 exons. The record is from RefSeq and is a predicted model, not a curated record. NCBI's taxonomy places the organism in Eukaryota, Viridiplantae, Streptophyta, Magnoliopsida, Malvales, Malvaceae.
UUUUUCCCCAUUCUCCGUUCUUUUCAAACGUCAUAUGAACGCAAUCGUUGAGCAGUUCAGUAUUUGCAUACAACGUUCCGUUCCCUUAUCCUCAGCAGUUGCUCGUCGUCUUCAUUCACCCUUUUCAUUUUCCGUUCUUCCUCCCAUUUUUCCUUUUUUUUAAAAAAAAGUUUGCUUAUAAUUCCAUUGAUUUUGCAGGUUUAAGUGAAGAUAAACUUGGGGUCUGAAACGAAACACCGAGCUGGCCAUUGAAUGAUAUGAGGUAGCUAUGGCGAGAUGUUGUGUACAUCAACUCUUUCAUGAACCGGGUGAUUAUGGCUUUGGCCGGAAAUAUCUCUGUCUUCAUCAAAAUCCUCUGCGUCCGGUCGUUGUUGGAUUCCGACUAUAUCCAAAGUCGAGUCGGAUUAGGAGCUAUUCAUGUUGCUAUAUCAAUUAUGCUAUACUGUGAUGUUUGUUGAUGGCUAGUGUGCCCGGAAGAUCUUUAGCGAGAGGACAAGCAAAUCAGCAUCGAAGGAAGCAAGCAAGCAAUGGUUUUUUUUAAUAAAAUGCCAAACGAACAAAUUCCGAAAAAGCAGUGGCAAUGAAUUAUGGAAGAAUAAGGGGACCAUUACUGGAAUUAUUGAAACUUGCCAUUGAGAAGGAAAACCAUAUGAACUCUUUUUGGACAACUUGGAUACAUAUACAUGUAAACGACAUAAUACUAGCGGACGAUAAUAACUUGGAUUAGAUUAAGGAUUGACAUAAAAUAUUUUAAAA